UACAGAGGUCUCAAGCGUUGUUCGGAUUCAUUGGGCGUAAAGGGUGCGUAGGCGGCGCGGUAAGUCGGGUGUGAAAUCUCGGAGCUUAACUCCGAAACUGCAUUCGAUACUGCCGUGCUUGAGGACUGGAGAGGAGACUGGAAUUUACGGUGUAGCGGUGAAAUGCGUAGAUAUCGUAAGGAAGACCAGUGGCGAAGGCGGGUCUCUGGUCUGUAACUGACGCUGAGGCGCGAAAGCGUGGGGAGCGAACAGG
Molecule: ribosomal RNA, 253 nt
Filed under: uncultured bacterium
Lineage: Bacteria
Description: partial 16S ribosomal RNA
Rfam family: Bacterial small subunit ribosomal RNA
Source: RNAcentral